This is a non-coding RNA of Osmia lignaria (orchard mason bee), 13327 nucleotides long. NCBI's taxonomy places the organism in Eukaryota, Metazoa, Arthropoda, Insecta, Hymenoptera, Megachilidae. The record is from RefSeq and is a predicted model, not a curated record.
CACGCGCGUUCCUUCGAGGAUCGGCGAUCGAACUCUCUAUCGCCGUUCCACAAACAAAACAUCCGCGACUCUUAGAAUUCGUCGCACCUCAAGUAUCAACUACCGCCGGCCUAAGUCCGAUGACAGACGUAUGGCUCGGGGUGUCGAUAGUUUAAAGAAUCCUGAGAAAUCUUUGAAAAGCAGGUCCAAGCCCCAAAUGCAAUGACCCUGCCUCGUGUCAACCUUUGCACACGUGCUGACGCUAACAGACCAGACUACCAUUCUUUAGGGCCUCCUGAACACGUCCCUCAAAUUUCUUUGUAAUCUGUUCAGCAGGAACGAAAAAUGGCGUGUUCUACGUUGUAGGGAUAUUUCUAUGAACUGUCGGUAAAGUUUUCAACGCUAGCAUCACCUUAUUUGCAUCGAUUCCCAAAAGUAGAGUUUGAAGAGCCUGCAUGCGGCCUAAGCCGAAACGUACGUCCAUACUUGUCUGGCAUUGACAAAUCGUUUUGCCGAUCGGUAAAUAUCAACUCGAUGGGAACGCAGCUUUAGUCAGCGCUCCCACUCCUUGCCGUUGCUACGUGCGUACCGUCCUUGCUUGAUUGCGUUUCACAAAGACUCUCCACUGGCAGCCAUUAUUCUUCUUUCGGCUGCGCUACGGAUGCAAUCGUAAUAUGUCGUGCUCUGUGUUAUUAUACCAAGUGAUAAUGAAACGUGUUGCUGCUUCUAGCUUACUAACGUUGCGCUUUUCACAGCGACAGCAUCUCAACAAGCUCGUAAUGCAUCACAGUGACUAAAUCGUGAUAAGUGACAGUACCUAUCCAAAGCGCUAUGCAAUUUUAGCGUAUAACACGCUGAAAUCAACAUUGCUGAUCAACAGGUUGACCAGGAACCAGGGCUUCCUCCAGUGCAUCCACGGGCUCCUCCCAGUCAACGAUAACACCCCUUCUGGACCUCUUUCGCUCUGGGAGCGCAUCUUUUUCUCAGCAUCCCGAAGUGCGGACCAAGCGGCUUGGGACGGCCUACGAAUAUACAGGGAGAUUCUCUCGGCGCGCAACACAAUAGCCGCCCCGCACAAUGGAACUCUGCUGUGUUUGCGGGCAAAAAGCUCAGAAGGUCAAGUCACCGGACCCAAGACUGCUCUUUUCUCAUAUAUUUUGACAAAUUAAAAAGAUAUUUCUCAUACCAUUGCUUCCAACGGUAUUUCAAGACUAUCACACAAUGUAAAAUACUUAAAUUACUUCGACGGCUUAAAUACCUAGCACAGAAAUACACUGUAGCGCAACCAAAAAUUAAGUAAAUAGAACAAUAAUGAAUAAAGAAAAAACUAAAAAUAGAAAGAAUAUCAUCAAACUCAGUAAUUAUUAAUAUAUAACCCACCACCUUCAAAAAAAGACACAACCAAAAAAUCAAAAAGAAAGGAACAUUAUUACCCGUUUCAUAAAGAGCCAGGGGAGACAUAAGGCUCCCAAAAUUGGUAUCACUCCACACUUCCAGAUACAAUUCAAUCCUCUAAGUGAAUUUCCAGUAUAACAUCCCAAAAAGUUCCAAAAUUAAUCCAAAUCCAUGUUCCAUAAAAAAUAAAAGCGCUGUACUCACACAUUUCCAUAAUCUCAUACCAUACCAUUGACACUUAAUCAAAAACUUAGGCCUAAAGAACCAACAAGACCAAACCAGCCAGUCAUACAAGUACAUCCAUCUUACACAUUUCCAAUGUCUUACGUCCAACAGAAAACCGCCAUUAACACAAUAAGAAUGACACAACGCAAAAGCACUAGUUGUUAUCAGCGGAAGGACUCUGCCCAAACACAUGGCCAAAUUGGCCCUUCUUCAUGUCCGCAAUUCUUUGUCUGCUCCUUUCUUCUUCCCUUUCAGCUUCUAGUGCCUCCAAUUCCCUUUCCCUCCUGGCGUACGAUGGGCCCGGAAGGCUGGCUUCCCAUUCUUCCUGUAGCCGCUUUUUCUCGACCUCCGUGGCUGCAUACAAAGCCUUUUUCCUUUCGAUCUUCGCCAAGGUUUUGGGCGGGAUCGGGACGUUCCACUCCGGCCGUUGAACCGAAUUCCACUCCUCUGCCGUGGGGCGCCUAGCGUAUUUCGUCUUUUUCAGGACCUUUUCCACUUCAUUUUCCAAGCCACAAUCAGCAAUCAGACUGAGAAGCUCCGAGAGGAAUUCAUCCUCCCUCCUCUUUCUCAGUUGGUCAACCAAUUGUCUAUUCGCCUGUUGCUCCAUUUUGCUGAUCCUUUUUAUAGCCGCUUCUUCAAUUUCCCCGUUUCCGAAUGUAUAUUCCGCCUCACCAUCCUCCGGAUCCGACUCCGGCUGGAUGGUGGCAUAUCUGUUAUUCCAUCUUUCUUUUUCCAAUGUGAUCAAGUUCCUCUUAAUCAACCGCUCUCUUGUUUUAACAGGGUCAUCCAUUAUUUCCAAAUUCAAUCUCCCUCUCCCCCUACCCCUGCCCUUGGGAGGGGGGUUAUCAUCUUUAUUUAGGCCCUGCACCACCUAGUUCCAUCCUCUACCCUGUGUAGGAGGUGGGGAAAGCGAACCCUGAGCCUCCUGAAUCGCUUGCAGUUCAUUAUCAAGAGGAACAUCAAACUUCUCCCAAAAUUCUGGGAUUCUAGACCUGCUUUUCAAGGAUAGAGCAGGGAAGUCCCUUGAUACUUCCAAAAACUCAUCAUCGUUAUCAUAAAUGCCUCUGUCGCCCAGCUGCUUGGUAAUAAUAUCCCUUGCAGUAGCAUAGGCGACAUUACGAUAUGCCAUAACUUUUUUAAUGGCCUUCUCACGCUGGAAUUUCCAACAAACCUUAGAGAGGCUCGUAUGGGGGCCUCCACAGUUUAUACAUUUGAUAUCACGGUCACAGGCACCAUGCUCAUUCUGUAAACACCUAAUGCAUCGUCUUGACUUGUUUGUACAUUGCAUCUGGACGUGCCCGUACGCGAAGCACCGGUAACAUUGUUUAACCGACUCAACACAAGGGAACACCCGCACACUCACGCAUCCUUGUCCAAUCCAGAGCUCUUUCGGGAGCUGAUCCCCCUUAAAGGUGGCCAGAAUGGCUAAUCCUUCCACCCAUUCUCAUUUACCGUCCUUAACCACUUUUUUCUUUAGUCUCUCCAAAGUACACUCGGGUUGACCAGGGACGAGCGCCUUCUCCAGAGCACCGACGGGUCCCUCCCAGUCGGUAAUAACACCCUUCCUAGUUCGUUCACGGUCCGGUAGGUAUGCGUCAAAGCAUGCCUCAUUCUUCUCUGCCCGAGACAGGAUUUCAUUUGCUGUUGCCAUAUCGCUAAAGGUGAGCUCCGCCCUAUUAAAUGCAACCAUUUUGAGUCCCCUAAGGAAUCUACCCUUAUUUUUAGUUAAACGAUAUAUUUUAAUUAGGUUUCUGCGCUUCAUUCUACUCGUCGCUUCCUUUUUCAGGACCACCGUGACCAUAUAUUCCCUACUGGGAAGCUCUUCUUCGUAAAAAACAUUCUUCCGCCUCUCAGCUUUAGUUUGAUGAGGGGUCGUUCCUUUAUUCCUGAUUCCAACAUCUCGAUCCUCGUUUCCAGUAACUUCCACGUGCUCAGGCGUUUCUAAAUUCACUUCUACGAUAUUUCCAGGAAGAUAUUGCCAGCGAUUAACAAACCCUCCAACAAAAAAUUAUGAUAUCACCAAAAAAAUAUCAGAAUGUACUAUUAUAUUACGUCACUCAGCAGGAGCCCGCCUCGUAUCCAACCACUCUCCUCAACCGUCGAAACGGAAGUGACCAAUGCACCGAGAAAAGACUUGGAAAAAACACCAAUAGCCGCAUCUAGAUGCACCGUACACACAGGAGAAAACCCCUGAAAACCUUUGUCUCAUUCGCACCCGCCUCGAUUCCGACCGUUCGUCUCAACCGUCAAAGCGGAAGUCACCAAACACUCUACAUACAUACAUACAUAACGGCUUUACUUGGGCGAAGCCCAAGAUGGCGUUCGAGAGGGGGGAGGCCCCCCCUAUAUUGCCCAACAAAAACAGCGGCCUAUUCAAAUCAAUCUUUCCACGAUACAAUCAUAUUAAUACAAUUCAUAAUCAAAGCGCAUUGGUUCACUCAUUCAUCUUUUUAUAACUAAAAAGAGAAGAGAGAGACAUACCAGCGCCCUGCACUUGUCACCACAAGGGUGGGGCAGGCCACCCCACCUCAAAAAACCUGUAAACUCAAACAUAAAGUCACAGAAAAUAAAGUCAUAUGGUUCUACCCAGUUUAUCAAGGAAUUUGGAGAUUUUUUACACACCCCCAAGUUCCCACUCAAAAAUUUCUGCUACGUCCGAUCCAGGGGAAAACCCCUUUUCUUCCAAGUACAUAUUUAAAUCCAGUCUUUCCAUCAAAAAUUUCUCACAAUACCAGACAACAUGUUCAAUCGACUCCUCUCCGAAGCCGCAACUACACUCUUUACCUUCAAUCAAGUUCUUUCUGAAUAGGGACUCCCCUAGAUUGAAAUGGUUGGCCCUCAGCCUACUCAUUCUCGUGAGUAGUUCCCUAUCCACACCUGUAAUUUUUAAAAACCAGGGCUUCUUGUUUCCUACGUUAUUCUUUGGAUUACCAAAAUAUUUCACUCCCUUAAACAUACCAAUCCCUGUCAUUCUAUUAACUAAUCUCUCCCACGCCCCUUCAGCCAGAUAUAAUCUGAUAUCUCGGGCGGAGACUCCUACUCCCAAUUCUUCCUCUCCCAUCGUUGCGACACCCGCCGGGAGAUCCGCUCGCUCAUUUCCCUCGAUGCCAACAUGGCUCGGAACCCACGCAAAGGCCACAUUCAUGACAUUCACGUCUUCACUCUCAUUACAGGUCGCGUUCAUUCUUAGUUCCCUGAUUAUCUCAAGAAUCCAGGGGCACUCUCCCAAAUUCCUCCCCACAUGAGCGACCUUCUCCAAAACACUCGCCGAAUCAAGAACUUACAGUUCUUAGGUCUAUUAUUAACGUAUCUCAGUGCUUGGAGAAUAGCGUACGUCUCAGCAGAAAAAACUGAGGUGGCCUUAUUUAAAGACCAACCAAACUCCUCCCACUCCCUAUUUGCGCCAUUAACCACCAUUCCCGACCCUACAGCAUCCAUGCUGCGUUUCUUAGACCCAUCCGUAUAAAUUUCCACUACCUCAUCCACAUUCAUACUAUUCCAGAACCCAUUCUUGAUUUCCUUAAACAUAGCCCUAUCCGGGAUCUCGAUUUGCUUUCUCUUUUUCCCCAUUUCCCAAUUAACUUUGAAACCCCCUUUAGCUAGAAAGGUUCCAACCUUCAGCCACUCUUCUCUACUCAUCACCGCCUUUCUACAAUUAUCCGUCCAUUCUUCCAGUUUCACCCAGGCCCGCGCCCAGGGUUCCAUGCACUCCCAUUCUUCCUCCUCUCUAACCACUAUAACAUUCAGCAAACUCUUUCUAACCAAACUAUCUGUUUUAAUUCUAUGUUUAAACAUGAAUCUUUCCAUCAAUAAUUCUACCCUAGUUUCCAGGUCGAUCACCCCAGUCUCCACAUUCAUCACAUUUAUAGGAGUGGUCAAUCUAUAUCCCAUGGCAAUCCUCAACCCUGCAUUUUGCAGUUUUGACAAUUUCUCCCUUCCCUUCUUAUUUCACCAGAAGUACGUAAAUAUCCCGUACUCUAUCACUGAACGAACCAAGCCUUUGAAAAAGACGAUCAUAGUUCGGGGGUUUACCCCCUUUUUAAUACUUGCUAUAUAACGUAGGAUAUCCAGGCGUUUCUUUGCCUUAUUACAGACGUACUCCAUCUGCCCACCGAACGACAAACCCUCGUUCAGAACCACUCCUAAGAAACGAACCUCUCUACUACAUUCCACUACUUCCUCCCCGAUUUGAAUGGAGGAUUUAAGCCCUUUCCUGGCUCUGUUUCUGGUAAAAGUCAUCCAUUGUGUUUUUUCCAUUGCUAAAUCUAGACCUAUAACUCUUAAAUUUUCCAUAAUUCGUUCAAUAGCUUCGCACAACCUAUGUUCCCUUUCCAACCGACCCCGCCCCCAGACAUAUAUCACAAUGUCGUCCGCAUAUAAUAGAAUUCUAAGGCAGUCCCGUAUACAAGAGGGGGCUCAAUACCGACUCCUGGGGUAAACCCCUGGUCACUCUGCCCUCACUUUCCGGAUCAAAUGUCCUUCUACAAACCGCCCACCUAUUCGUCAGCUAAUCUCUUAAGUAUCUUUUAACAAAAAGGGGGCAUCCCUUUCUAUUCAAUAUUUCUACCAUUUUCCCAUGUAAUACCCUAUCAUAUGCCGCUUUCACGUCUACAAAAGCAGCCGACGUCUCUUCCUUACGUAGGAAGGCUGCUUUAACAUCUGAGAUCAAGAUCAUGAUGUUAUCCACCGUGGACCUACCCUUCAUAAAACCGCUCUGCCGGGGGUCCACGAUGCCCUCCUUUUCUACCCAUUCCUGCAGGCGCUCUUUUACUAAUUUUUCUAACAGUUUGCCUAGACAAUCAAUUAAAGAGAUUGGCCUAACGGCCUUUUUCCCUGGUUUAUCUAGGAAUCUCACGACACCCCUCUUCCAGCGGUCCGGGAUGCAUCCACUAGACCAUAUCCAAUUAUACAUUUCUAAUAGUAAGGAUUUCAUAUUCUCGUGCAUGUUUUUCAAACCAGCAUAAGAAAUUCCAACCUCCUCCGAGGCUGUAUUGACUCUCACCCCCCUUAAAGCACUAUCUAGCUUCUGUCGUGCGAAACCCUGACUAUCCUCUCUACCCUCUUCUAGCCUCUCCCAGUCCCGUUGGUCAUUCCAGGCAACAGGGCCAUCCGUUGUCCCAUUCGAAUCUCCAAGUAUUUUCCCAACCUCUUUAUUUUCUAAGUCCCUCCUCUCCAAUAUAGGUAUAACACAGAUCACUUCCCUGGCCACGCCAUUCCUAAUGCUUUUAACCUUUCUCCAGGCAUCUUUCGCACUCCUGAAACAAUCAAUAGAUCCGGCAAAAUCGUCCCACGCUUUACUUUUUUUUGCGUUUACCAGGUUUUUCAUAUUUUUUUCCGCCUCCCUUAAACUAACCCAGUUUUCCUGGCAAGGUCUUCUAACAUAAUCUCACGUGGCUCUCCUGCAACUGUUUUUGGCCUCCUCACAUUCCUGGUCCCACCAUACCUGUUUUUUCCUAACCCUAGCGCCCACAGGAUCCUCUAGCCUAAACGAUGGGGCCUUUUUUUUACCUCCCGCCCUUAGUAAAGCCCUACUCAUCGCGGCUGUAAAUUGAUCAACUCUAUCAUUAAUAUUUUGACUCGACCAAGUCUCCUUUUCCCAUGACUCAUUAAGCCCACCCGCAUCCUCUCCUGAGAAAACUUUGAACAUUAACCAAUUAAUAUUCUUCUCAUUAAAUUUCCUCGUGCCUACUUUAUUACCAUUCUGUACCAAAGUAAUUCCCUCUUUUAAAUGGAGAAGGAUUACUUGGUGGUCCGACCCCAAGGUCUCAUUUUCCUGUUCAAUAGAGCCCAGUGUUACAAACCUAUGCGAGCCUAUAAAAAGGUCCAAAUUGGAAGGUGGACGCCCCCCCGAUCCUAUCCUAGAUAACGUAUAUCUAUUAAGCACGAAUAGAUCUGCUUCCCUAACAACCUCCUCCAACGAUCUCCCCUCCCUACUCUCGACCGGACAGUUCCACGCCUUGCUCCUAGCAUUAAAAUCUCCCAUAAACAGAACCGGAACCCCGGGCCUCUUAAAUUCUAUCACAUCCUUCCACUCCCUUUUACUCCAGGGGAUCCCCGGCCUCCUAUAUACCACCACCAUCCCAAACGAUAUCGUCUCUAGUUUGAUACAUAAUGUCCUCCCGGAGCAGUAAAGCUACUCCCCCACCCUGUCUAUCCUCGUCCAAAUCAAGUCUAACUAUAUUGUACCCAGGAAUAUUCAAAGUAUCCAAAGGUUUAAGCCAGGUCUCGGUGAUCCCGAACACCUGGAACUUGGGGUUAUACUCUUUUAAUUCCGCUACCUUCCCACGCACACUUCUGGCAUUCCAAAUUCCCAUCAAAACUGAGUUAUUCAUUUUACCUUACAGAAGGGGUUAAAAACCCUUUCAUCCCAGCAGUAGGGUGCCGCGCCCUCCAUUGUUUCAUCGCUCUCUCUUAUAGUGACAAGUGCAGGGAGCAUAAAAACAGCAUUCCUACAAAAUAAUAUAAACUUUAUUGGAGAAAAAGAAAAAAACCAGCUCCAACACAUAGUACCCUUUAUCCUACAAAACCCGGACAAACACAGGAAAUUGUACAACAGUAUAUUACCCUCUUUUCUCGUAUCGCACGUCAUGAUUAUAUCCCAGCUGUCUUUAUUCUGGGGUAGACUUACAGUUCUAGUCUUAUUACCAAGGAGCCAAAAAAUUUCCAAAAAACAGCUCAUAUCCAAUUCCUUACAGUCUAAAAGAGUUUCUAACAUUAUUCCAAAUCCGCAACCUAUUAUAAAAAACCAGUAAUACAAAGUUAACUUAAAAUUUAAAUUCAAAAUUAAAGUACAAUCAUAUCGCACCCAAAGGCCCGACAUAGGCCAAAUCGGGUAAACAUAAUUCCAAAUCAAACCAUUCCACACAAUAUUAGCACUAAAAAAUCUCACUCUUUUCCAUUCAUUCUUCCAUAACCCUAUCCCCUGCGAUAAGCCAAAAAGUCGGCAUCUGAGAUCACACCACAAGGAUUUAAACGUCUUUGUUCGGUUCGUCCCCAUUAUCUUGGCGGAAGACCCAUCCCAUCGGGCCCUUUUUCAUUUCUCUUAGUCUCUCAAGGCAACGCUCUUCCUCCCUUUCGGCUUCUGCCUGUUCCCUCUCCCUCUCCCGUCUGGCAUACGAGGGGCCAGGCAAGCUGUUCUCCCACUCUUCUUGUUGCUUCCUCUUUUCCUCUUCCCUUGCUGCGUACAAGGCCUUCUUCCUUUCAAUUUUAGCUUGAGUUUUGGCCGGUAUCGGUAUAUCCCAGGGCGGCCUUUGAGGAGUAUUCCACUCCCUGAAUUCCUCUUCUUCGGAUUGCUUUUUCCAUACCUUUUCUUUCUUAAAUGCUGCUCCAGCUCCUUCUCGAAUCCCCUAUCUACUAUCAGGCUUAAGAGCUCAGAAAGGAAUUCCUCCUCCCUUCUCUUUCUGAGUUGUUCGAUCAAUAAUCUGUUCGCCCUUUGUUCCAUCUUACUCACUUUCUUAAUCGCUGCUUUUUCCAGUUCACCAUAUCCAAAGGUGCACUCAGCUUCUCCAUCUUCCAAGUCCGACUCCGGCUGCAACACCUCAUACCUGUUUUCCUUUCCAUUUCCAUCAUUUUUCUUAACCAGGCCCUCCCUGGUUUUAAUACGGUCAUCUUCAAUGAUUAGAUUCAGUCUACCCCUACCACGUCCCUUACUAGGAGGAAGGGGGUCCUUUCGGAGUCCCAGGGCUGUCUCCCAGCCUCUUUGGUUGGGCACCGAAGGGGAGGACUGGCCGCGAGCCUCGCUGAUGGCCUGCAGUUCCUCACUCAGGGGGACUUCCCCCUUUUCCCAAAACUCAGGAUUUUUAAUCUUAUUCCUCCUUGACAAGGCCGGAAAGUCCCUGGAUCCAUCCACUCUGUCGUCUUCUUCAUCCAAAAUUCCAUUUUCUCCCAUCUGCUUCGAAACCAAGUCCCUUGCGGUGGCAUACACCACGUUGCGGUACGCCAUCACUUUUUUAACUGCUUUUUCUCUUUGGAACUUCCAGCAGCCCUUCGACAGACUGGUAUGGUUCCCACCGCAGUUUAGGCAUUUCUCCGGCCUAUCACACUGUCCAUGCUCAUUCUCCAAACAUUUAAUGCACCUUUUAUAUUUGGACAUGGCCAAAUGCAAAGCAUCUAUAACACUGUUUCACAGCUUCCACAAACGGGAACACCCUCACACUCACGUGGCCGUGACCUAUCCAAAGUUCCUUCGGUAAUUGAUCUCCCUUGAAUGUAGCAAGGAUUGCAAUCCCCUCCACCCACUCGGUUUUGCCGUCCUUGGUGACUUUCCUUUUCAAUCUCUCAAACUUCGCUUCAGGUUGACCAGGCACCAGGGCUUCUUCAAGCGCGUCCACAGGUUCUUCCCAGUCUACAAUCACACCUUUUCUGGUCCUCUUCCGCUCUGGCAGGUAUGCAUCGAAGCAUGUAUUUCCCUCGUCCGCGCGUCUCAAGAUCUCGUUAGCUGCGGCCAUUUCGCUGAACGUUAGCUCCGCCCUGUUGAAAGCGUCCAUUUUGAACCCCCUCAAAUAUCUCCCUUUAUUUUUAACUUGUCUAUAUAUUUUGAUAACAUUUCUACGCUUCAUUCUACUGGUGGCUUCCUUCUUCAGCACCAGCGUCACCAUGUAUUCUCUACUGGCGAGCUCUUCAUAAUAAUAAGAUUUUUUUGAUUUCUCACCUUUUGAAGCGUUCAAACCGUGUUCUGUAAUGGCCGGCUCUUUGUUCCUUUGUGUUUCGUUGUCCUUUAUCAAUUCCAAAUUCUCAGCGUCCUUUUCCACAGUUCCUUUUUCCAAAGUCUUAUCCCUAUUAUCUGCAUCAACAAUACGUUUAGGUACGGUGCUCACCUCCACGGGUUGCUUAUCGCCCUUUUUUUUACCUUGAAUUACGUCUCCCAGAUCCUCCUCGCUAGUUCUUCUUAGUCUCUUUCUACUUUUCUACUCUGUCUUGUCGUUCAACGUUCUUUGUGCGUCACUUCCUAUUUCUAACGGUUUUUCCGUCGUCUUUUCAGUACUACCAACUUCGCAUUCCAAAAGUUUCUCAUCCAAGUCCAUAGAGGCCGUGCGUGGCUCUUUUGGAUUGGCCACAUCCCCACUUAUUUCCCUUUGUUCGAAUCCUGCUACGAUUUCAGCAACCUUCAGCUCCCUCUGAGGUGUUUUUUUUCCCAAAACCGUUUUCACCGCAAAAAAUUCUCGUGCUUCUUUGUCUUCUUCCAAAUACUCAGUUUCCCAUUCACCAUCACUUCCUGGUUUUUCCACUUCCACUCGCUUUUCGAGCUUCGAGCUUUCACUUUCUCUUCUCCUUUAUCUUCCUUCUUCUGCUCCCAAGCGGCAUAUCGUUGCCGCUUGGGAGGGUCCCCUCCCCCCGCCGAUUAAUUCCUGGACCGAGUAAUCUCAGCCCAGGAAAAAACCCCAACUAUUCACAACACUUCACUUCUAUAUGUCCGGGUUUUAUGCUUGAUUCUCUAAAAAACUCAAUUUCCCUACAGAAAACGCGAUUUUCCCUAUGAAAAUCACCACUUGGAGCGAACUUUCCAGCGCACUCACCGCUCUACCCACCACCAAACACUCUCGUCCAUGCACCUACGGGGAUGAGUUGACAGCCCUGCCCACCCCAAACCCCGCGCAUUUUUAAAUUUCUUUUUUCUUUUCUUUAUAUUUCUUCUCACAAUCUUUUCCAUACUUUUACAGUCUUUAACAGUUUUCCAUACUUUUAUGUCUACAAAUUAGUCUUUCCAUACUUUUUGCUCUUUUUACUCCACAUUGUUACAUUCUUCUAAACUUUCCGCAACACUUUUAUUAUCUCGUGUUUCGACGUUUCCGUCGCCGAUCGUGGUACACCAAAUGAGCAUCGCCUUUCUUACUUUUGCCUCUUCUACACUAAUCUUACAUAAAUGAGUUUGACAAUGCUACUAUCGUAUUUUAAAGAACAUCAAUAUAAAUAUAGAAAGGAAGGAACUACCCUAAUCUGUUGUAAUCUAUUCUAAGGUCUCUCAAACAUUACACUAUCUAACACCCUUUCACUCCCUCUCAUUCACUCCUUCACCCGCCCCAACCGAGCCCUCGGCAACCAUCGCUCGAGGGUUCCAUCGUCACCCCCAUCCCCUCGCCGAGCACAGCUCCCCCUUCUUUUUCCCUUCCAAACUCACGCCUCUCGAAGGCACAGCCCCGCUCACACGCCCAGCCGCGCCUCCCCGACCAUUCAUCCACUCGCACUCACUCCCCCAUUCAGCUCUCCCCUCUCUCCUACCCCCAGAGUACCAGACACACCGUCACACCGCUCCAACCCAGGGGCGGCACACCGGCUCCGGGGGCUCCCGCUCCACGGCGCGAGCGUCCACAGCAGGGCAGCACGACUGCGCCCACAACCCACUGCACCCACACCUAAUCGAACAAAAUGUAGGGAACCCAGAAUCCCGAAUAUUAUCCAAUCAAUAUCGCCGCUCUCAUGCCCCCCGCUCCACACUCCAGGCCCCCCCAAGCCGGCCUCCCCUCCCGCAUCCCACCCCACUCCCACAGUCCCGCCCCUCUCACACAUCCACCCCCCUCGCUCCCUGCUAUUGAAACCGGCCCCACCGCACAAGAUACCCCAGUCCUCCGCACAGGCGCCCCAAACAACUCCGCCCGUCCCCACAAGAAACCCCGCCACCGCCGCGCACACCGCAGGUCUGUCCCCUCCGACCAAGUCCCGACACCGGGGUCCGCCCCGAAGCCCCCCUUCGUGCAGUCCACCGACAAGCCCCUCCCAAAGAUGCUCGCACCCCCCGCACUCUAAUAGAACGCGAAACACGCCUUCUAUCGCCCCCCCCACAGCCACACCCAGGGCCCCCCCACAAAGCGCUCUCUCGCGAGCGACCCUCCCACACUGUACUGACCAGAUCUCACUCUGCCCAAAACCGAUACAGUCCCUCCACUCUGUACCGCAAACCCUCCAAACCACGGCCCUGCACAGUUCCCACCCGCGCCGACCCCGACGAAGCAUCGCACCCCUACAGCUCGCCUCCCCUCGCAACACUCCCAGCCGCCCACAACACCCCUGUGCGCCGGCCCCCACACAAAGACAACGGGCGUCCUCCCACAAUCCACAGUCCCGUCACACGGUAAGUUUUUGUACAUAUAUAUUUCGUUUAACUCGUUUAGUAUUUUAACAAUUAUUUCGUUUAUUUUACUAUUAAGUAUAUCACUGAUGUCUUUACUUCUGGUUGCGUCCAGCACCCCGAGGACACUCGCAGAGUCACUGCACACUACCAAUCCUCCCCUACCGCCGGAUUGCCAGUGUCAUGUCUUCUGACCACCGCAACCGCCCCAACCGACCGGGCUCCCCGCUUCCUGAAACCACCGGUGCACAUCCCGACGAAGCCCCCACCGAUCGACCCACAGAGCCGCCUUGCCCCGGCCGGGACGCUCUCCAGAACCGCACUCGGCACCACCAUCAUCUCCCCGGCUCUCCACUCGAUCCAGGGCCUGGGGCACUCCAGAAUCCCGACUGCCGGGCGCCAAGCACCCAAUCUCGCCAACGUCACCAGCCGUUCAUCCCCUCUGCAAGCCUUCACCAUACAAGUCCAGUUGCCACCCGGCAACUCCUCGACCCCCUCCCAGGCUCCACAAAAUCAGUCUCAAAAUAUCCCCCUUCUACCACCCACCCCUUUAAGGAGGCACCCCCCUGCGACGACAGCCGCGGAUCGGCGUCGCGCAUCGCGGGCCCCACCGCGGCGGCAUCCCCACUCCCGAGUAAUUAGACUAUAAGUAGGACCGAUCGA